Eurytemora carolleeae is the source of this 184-nucleotide long non-coding RNA. RefSeq lists it as uncharacterized. NCBI's taxonomy places the organism in Eukaryota, Metazoa, Arthropoda, Copepoda, Calanoida, Temoridae. The transcript is spliced from 4 exons. The record is from RefSeq and is a predicted model, not a curated record.
UUAGAAUUGGAGACAACAUAACUCUAACCUGCAUUGUCUUAGGAGGUGACCCCUCCCCCAGUGUUCAAUGGUUGAGAGACAAGCAUAUAAUUCAAACUGAAUCCUUCAGGCCCUUUCCUGGCAAACUUGUAAGUAAAUUAGAACUGAUUGAUAUGAACAGAAGCAAUCUAGAUACAAUUUGCAC